Molecule: non-coding RNA, 104 nt
Organism: Podarcis lilfordi (Lilford's wall lizard)
Lineage: Eukaryota; Metazoa; Chordata; Lepidosauria; Squamata; Lacertidae
Source: the annotation of a GenBank genome assembly
UCCAGUAGCACCUUAGAGACCAACUAAGUUUGUUAUUGGUAUGAGCUUUCGUAUGCAACCUCAUACCAAUAACAAACUUAGUUGGUCUCUAAGGUGAUACUGGA